CCUACGGGAGGCAGCAGUAGGGAAUAUUGCUCAAUGGGGGAAACCCUGAAGCAGCAACGCCGCGUGGAGGAUGACGGUUUUCGGUUUGUUAACUCCUUUUGUUAGAGAAGAUAAUGACGGUAUCUAACGAAUAAGCACCGGCUAACUCCGUGCCAGCAGCCGCGGUAAUACGGAGGGUGCAAGCGUUACUCGGAAUCACUGGGCGUAAAGCGCGCGUAGGCGGGAUAGCAAGUCAGAUGUGAAAUCCUAUGGCUUAACCAUAGAACUGCAUUUGAAACUGUUAGUCUAGAGUAUGGGAGAGGUAGGCGGAAUUCGUGGUGUAGCGGUAAAAUGCGUAGAGAUCACGAAGAAUACUCAUUGCGAAGGCGACCUGCUAGAACAUAACUGACGCUGAUGCGCGAAAGCGUGGGGAGCAAACAGGAUUAGAUACCCUUGUAGUC
This 440-nucleotide ribosomal RNA is filed under the name uncultured bacterium. RNAcentral describes it as "partial 16S ribosomal RNA". It matches the Rfam family "Bacterial small subunit ribosomal RNA", at positions 338 to 795 of the family's 1533-position model. The record is from RNAcentral.